Paramisgurnus dabryanus is the source of this 345-nucleotide long non-coding RNA. RefSeq lists it as uncharacterized. Lineage: Eukaryota; Metazoa; Chordata; Actinopteri; Cypriniformes; Cobitidae. The record is from RefSeq and is a predicted model, not a curated record.
AUAAAUUCAAAAAAGAAAGAUUACCCUUAGUUGAGGUCAAGAGAUAAAGGAAGUUCAAUGCAAGUUCAGCAAAGUAAGGAACCACAAGUUUUCAUCAAGGGUUCAACAGAUACCCAGUGCAGAGACUGAGGAAAACCAAGACAUGAAUAGGAAGAGGCCAUUGUCUGAAGGGUCUGAGUCAGGGGAAGAUGAUUACAGCAUUGGGGUCCACUUGGAAAAAAUGAAAACAGAAUGCUUGAAAAAAACACCAAAUAUCAAACUUUUAGUGGACUACAUGGCACGGACAAGGAAUGAGAGGACAGACUUCAUAAAACAUAACCCCAUAAAGGAUACAUUAACACGAUA